GUUCUUUGGCUCUUGUGUGAGUGGAUGGUGACACCAGGCCAGCUGGGGAUUCUUCCCAGGCUGGGCUCACAGGCUGGGGCUGGGCACACGGAGCAGCUGCGGGAAAAGGAUCUGGACACCAGCCCCCCAGCGUGUCACCGGCAGGAAGGUGAGGUGGGAACAGAGUGACGUCCAUGCAUGUUCAGGACUAAGCCAGUGGAUCACAAACAUCCUGGAGAGCAGUGACUCUGUGAUUCCAUCACAAGAAUAUGAAGGACUGAGAAGAUCUCCAGCUCUGCCCAUUGCACCUUCCCAUUGAGAAGCAGCAUGGCACCCUGGUGGCAGGGGCUGAUACUCAGCCGGGCCAGGGUGCUCUCCUGUUAACCAUAACCAAGCUCACAGGACAUGGGAUGAGCCCACUGUGUGACACAGGGAGCGGGACACAGUCUGUUAAGUCUUGCACAGCCAUGCUCUGCCACGCAGGCAGGCCUUUCCUUGGCCUCCCUCUCCCUGUUCGUGCUCAUGUGAACAUCCACCUACGUGGAUAGACUGGGCUUUGGUUCAUUAUUGCUCUGUGAAUUCCUCGAACUUCCGCAUCUGCCCAACCUCCCCCACCCCAUUGUUUUCAUUGUGUUUCACCAAAUGGAAAUUCUAGAGUAAGCAUGUGAGUCCUCUCCCAAACUUGUUCACUGUUGAGAGUGCUAAAAUGCUAACCCCAGAUGCUAACUGAGGGGUAGGGUUACCUUAUCUUUAGAGCACUGCGAAUUGUAUGUUAAGUGGAACUUAAUGAAAAAAUAGUUAAUUGACCAACAUGAAUAUCCCCUGAACAGAAUCUCCCCUGAACAGAAUCCUACAAUGAAACUAAGGGAGAUAAAUAAAGCUGUUUACCUGAAAGCUCUCUCUAAUCAAGAUCCUUUGAAAUUUAUAAAACAUGGUCAAUAUUUGCACUGGACUUUGUAAAAAUAAAGCUUGAUAAGAGAAGAGUUUGAAGUGAAAUGCUGCCACUUUCUAUGCAAUAUUUGAUUUAAAUUUAAUUCCUAGAAACCUCAGAUGAAUGUGGUUCAUGUAUCAAAGCACUCAGCAUUAUUUAUCGCGGCCUUAAAUACACAGUGAGCUUACAUGUGAAUGAAUACAUAUAUUAUGUAUCUCUCUCUAUAUAUAUACUAUAUAGAUAAUAUAGUAUAUAUAUAUAUAUAGUGUAUAUAUACACUAUAUAUAUCGUGUAUACAUAUACUAUCUAUAUAGUAUAUAUGUAUAUGGUAUAUAUAUCUAUCUAUAGAUAGAUAGAUAGAUAUACUUAAAAAAACCCCAUUCCCUUAAGAGCAGUUAAGGGACACCAUAUAUCAAAUUUCUUGGCACGUUGUGAAUAUUAAUAUCCCCAAAGUGUCAAUGUCAAAUGAUUUGACUUGAAAUCACUAAGCUUGGUAAUCUCACUAUUUUUAAACAAGGCCUAACAUCUUUUAAUCUUGAAUACCAGCAAGUUCUCAGACUUCAGUUGUUUAUUUUCUCUUUUCUUUCCUUUAAAAAAUUCUGACAAGCUCUUUUCCUUGACACAAAGAAAGCGUAUAAAUUUUAUUUUGGUUUGAACAACAGAAAUUUGCCUCUCAGAAUUCUGGAGAUUGGAAAGUCUAAGGACUAAGCUGCUGGCCAAUUUAGUUCUUAGUGAGGACUCUCUUCCUGGCUUGUAGAUGGCUGCCUUCUCACUGCAUCCUCAGAGAGAGAGAGAGAGAGGGCUCUUGUGUCUCUUCCUUUCUCAUAAAGCGUCAGCUCUCUUGUAUUAGGGUCCCACCCAUAAUUACCCCCUUAUAUGCCCCAUCUACAAAUAGAGUCACAUUGUGGGUUAGAGCUUGGCAGUGAAUAAUUAUGGAGGUUAUUGUUGGCUUUAGAAUUUCGUGGUAGAAACAAUAAAUUGCCUUUGUGUUUA
RNAcentral lists this long non-coding RNA (1903 nucleotides) under Homo sapiens (human). Its description in RNAcentral is "long independently transcribed non-coding RNA 3082, transcript variant 1 (LINC03082)". Lineage: Eukaryota; Metazoa; Chordata; Mammalia; Primates; Hominidae. The record is from RNAcentral.